UGGGUAGACCGCUUCCCGCGCGUUCGAGACGGGUUGGGGAGGAGCGCUUCACUCCCUCACCUUCCUCCCCGCGGCCUCCACCGUUUCUCUCACCGACUCGUGGGGAGCCCGCGAAACCUCCGGUGCUUGUUCACGCACUUCCAGGGACUGGCAGCACAUCACCAUCACCUCUUGAGAAGAUUGAAAUGGAAAACUGGAAAAGUUGAUGAAUUUAUGCUCACAAAACCAAGUCAAAAAGCCAGGGCAGCUAUGACAAGGUUGAAGUUCAUCCCUCAGAAGUGAAUGAAACAGAGGGGUCAACCUCCCUAAUCAUUUUGAUCACCAGGAUAAUGAUGACUGACCAAUUAGACUAGUCAUUGAUAUCCAGCAUAAAGAUGGCCAUAACAGCUUAUUUGGCAUCAUUGCUGAUUCCUCUUCCAGCCAUGCCUUCAAGUGAUGGAGCUGAGGAGAAUGUCAUCAGUAGAUACAAGUAUAGUCUCUACUUACAUGAGCAACAUAGUGGUGGGUAUACAGUAUUGCUCUUUUUAUCUGGGGAAGCCUCAGUAGCAGGAAGGG
RNAcentral lists this long non-coding RNA (555 nucleotides) under Delphinapterus leucas (beluga whale). Its description in RNAcentral is "lncRNA (ENSDLEG00000001898.1)". The record is from RNAcentral. Lineage: Eukaryota; Metazoa; Chordata; Mammalia; Artiodactyla; Monodontidae.